AUGAACUGCCCUUCUGCUACUCAAAGUGCAAAGAUACACCAUGGAAACAACAGCAAGAGCAACUGGACCAACAGCUUCAGAGUGAAAUUGGGCUCCAAUAGCUUGCAUCAAGUUCUAAAGAAGAAAGAGAACUUCGAACAUAGAGAUAGUAGUCCAGCCGAGCUCCAAAAUCAUUGGCUUAGUCUGCAGAUUCACCAACAAGUCUCCUUGCGCCUGAAGAAGUCCAUCCCUGCAACUGAAAUACUACAAGAACAAAUGAAGCAGAGUAUCUUGAACAGAGGAGAACCAAGAAGCAAAGAGCUAGUAACAAUGCACUGUGUGAAUCUUAAUACCAGGAAUUUGGAAAUUAGAAAGAAGGGAUACAACAUUGCAGGAAUUAGAAGAGUGAUUACGAGCAAAGCAACAAAUCUGAUAUUCGCUGUGAAAACCUGGUGA
This 435-nucleotide ribosomal RNA is filed under the name Triticum aestivum (bread wheat). Its description in RNAcentral is "partial small subunit ribosomal RNA". The record is from RNAcentral. Lineage: Eukaryota; Viridiplantae; Streptophyta; Magnoliopsida; Poales; Poaceae.